UGAGGAAGUCCCGCCCCCACCUCGAAAGAGGAACCGCGGGCCUGACAGCUUGGGGGCGGACCUGGCUGAGGAGACGCCGUGCUACGCUCUUCCUCUAACCUUUCACUCUUAGAUUUUUUUCCAGAACAAAGCUGGAGGAAUCCUGGCUCUGCCAAAUACAGGCUUACUACCCAGGCAAGUCACUUCUCCGUGCCUCAGUUUUCUCAUUUGUAAAGGCAGUGUCCAGCGUUUAGGAUUGUUGUGAGAAUUAAAGUAGCAAAUCCAGAUAAUGCCUCCAGCGUUAGACCUGGUGCUUGGUACAAAAUGGCGGUGAUUAUUUUUAUUGCCCUCCUAUUCUGCUUCUGGUCCCUCUUCUUUUUUAAAAAGCUUUUAUUUGCUUGCAAGGCAGAAUGAGAGGGAGAGACAGAGAUCGCCCAUCUAAUGGUUCACUCCCCGACUGCCUGUUGCAUCUGGGACCGCACCAGGCUACAGCCAGGAACUCCAUCCUGGUUGCCCAUAUGGGUUGCAGGAAUCCAAGAACUUGGGUCCUCACCUGCUGCCUCCCACCCGAAGCUGUAACCAAAAUGGAGUAGCGGGGACUAGAAUCUGCUUCCUAAGCAGGCUUAACCCACUGAGCCACAACGCCCGCCCCUUGUCACUCUUCUUGAUUGCUUUUCUAUUUUAGCAAUGCUCACUGACAAAUUGUGGUAAGAUUUACUAUUGAGACACUGUUAGCCAUCACAAAACACACCGAAUUGCCCGAAUAAGGGAAAGGGUCUAUUGGGGAACACCCAACAGACUGGAGUGAAGGGGUGGUGAAGGGAAAGAAAGAGUAUAAGAGAGAGAGAGAGACAGAGGAGAGGAGAUAGUGAGGAGAGAAGAUAGAGCAGAGAGACAUGCCGAGAGAGGAGCCAAGAGAGCACAUGUUCAGGAGCAGGCCCUUUUAAAACUUUGCCGGAGGGCAGGCCGGGAAGCAGGAGCAGCGAAUCCCAUUAGGAUGGGGGUGGAGCUUGACAACAGAGGUUGGGCCAUGUGGCCACCUGGCUUCCAGCAAUGGCGGCAGAGGCUAGAGCUUGGGGUGUAAAUCAGGGUAUAGAUCACGCCAUAGAUAAAACUGCACCAGUUUCCUAACAGACACAAUCCAGAAAUGAGUAAGAGUGUAGUGCUGCCAACAUGUCUAGGGCAUUGGAUCAGGAAAAGAGAUAGAUUUAGGAAGAGCAGUCCUUAGCGGGUAAGGACACUUGGUAUUCUGUAAAAAGACAGAACUGGCACUAACUUGGACCUCAUGGUGUUUCUGGCCACAUUUGAAAAACAGCCAGUCUUCCAACAUUUCCACUAAGAAAUCUACGGGUUAUUCUAGCAGGUCGUAACCUGGAGGGAGAGAUCAGAUUGGGGUAUCUGUCUCUCACUAAACCCAUUCUGCAUUAUUUUGAAAGAUAAGGAAGGGAAGUAUGAGGAGAGUGGAGCACAGUAGGUAGAAGAGGGGAAUCAGAGAUGUCUAGUUGCAUAAUGCCCCCAGGCCAAACUGUUGGCUUUGAAAGAGAGAAAAGACAUUAACAAAGGCAUACUCUGAAGGGUUAAAAAGUUAGAAGCCGCUUCCCCCCAACCUCCUCUGGUGAACUUUCCUGACCUCGUUAGACUUGCUCUGCAUAGCCAUUCUCUGUAAAGUUAAUUAGUCAGUAAAUUACCCCAAUGUGAGCGUAACCUUAGUUUCACCUAAGUAAGAUAGAAGAAGUCACCGUAUAUCUCUUUGCCUCCUGGAACUCUGACCCCACCGUGUGUCCCUUAUCGCCAUUCAGCUGCAUUCCUGGUAUCAUCAAGGCAGUUCCUGCAAUCUUGUGUGGCCCUCCCUUUUGGCAAUAGGAGGCUUUUUGAUACUCCCUGUAUAGGCCAUAUGGUUCUUUGAGGUCUAAUCAGGCCCUUACUCGGUAUCCUAUACUCCCUGUAUUCAUAAAUCAACUGAUUGUAAAAUCACUUAACUUGUAUCAAUUGUUUACUCUAUACCACUGUCUGCUCUACCCAAUGAUUGAUUUUCUUUGUUUAAACGUGUAUAAAAACCCCAACCCAAGACUAUUCGAGGCAGCUCGCCUGUACUGGGACGGGGGCCCCGACAUGUCGGAACAUCAAUAAACUUUACCCUUUGUUAA
Molecule: non-coding RNA, 2126 nt
Organism: Oryctolagus cuniculus (rabbit)
Lineage: Eukaryota; Metazoa; Chordata; Mammalia; Lagomorpha; Leporidae
Source: RefSeq, a predicted model, not a curated record